GUUUCUGAAAAGUGGCUUUUUAAAAUAUUCACUGAAAAUGCCAGGUGAGAGAAUGGCACAUUACAAGUUCAGCCUCUGUGGGAUUGGAGCUCUUAUCGGUCUCAUCUUCCGUAGGACUCUGUUCAUGAGCGGGCAGCUCAGUCUUCAACCUCUUCUGAUCUCUGUUAUUUUAUUUGAAAAUAUUUGCAGUGCAGUGUAGCUGAGUUUAGAAACAGGAUGAGGAUGUUCAGGAAACAGACCCAGCAGCACUCGCCCUUUAUUAGUUUUUUUUAGUGUAUUCAGUGUUGAAAUUCCAACAUCAAGAAGCUUUCAUGCUUAUGAGAAUACACCUGCUCCUAGGGUUACUGAGGGGGAGAUCUCACACCCAGCAUUGUUAGGAAGAAGGCAGUAACCUUCCCAUUGUCACCAGCUGUCACAGCACACUAGCUCUUCAUUGUUUGACAGUGUAACAUCAGGGGGCUGUGUGGAUUAACCCUUCUACCAUAUAGGUUGCACCUGGGCCAGCCUUAGGGCGAGCACGCCCAAAGAGGGAAUCUAUUUAAGAAACCUGGAUGCUUCCUCUCAGGUUUCCUACAAGUAAGCAUUUGCCUCUUCUUAUUGUGAAUUGCUGUGUAUUAGGAGCAAAUAAGGGAAAUUCUCUUUCUGACUGUGUGAAGGUCUGUUAAGUUAGAGCAAUGAAUCAAAUUUCUCUGCUCGUGUUUGUAAGGAGUAGAGGUCUUUGUAUGAUGGAAGCUGUGGAAAGGGAGAGUUUUAUCUGUAUGGUCCAACAAGGCUCUAGACCUUCAGGAGGAUUUGCCCCUGAAUUGCUGUGCAGUCUAGGGGGCUUCCAUUAAGAAAAGCUGUUCAUGUUGAUUGUGCUGCAUCGCUGGCAUGAAGGGACAGGUUCAUCUCCAAUGUUCUGUUCAGAGGAGUUUCCUUGGAUUGACACAAAAAUCCCUAAGGAGCUGGUGAAAACCUCUCUGAUCUGGUUUCUGUUGCGAGAUGAAAUGCAUACAUCUGACUUGGAGAAAGGAGUGAAAAGCAGGCUGAGAUUCUCGGCCCAGUGCCCGCUGACUUGUUCCCUGAUGAUCCUGCCAGCUCGAGGCUGCUCAGCACAAGUGUUGGGGAGGCAUGUGUGGAAGGCAGAAAGCUCAGAAAGCAGGAAUUCCUGGAGCAGCAAGAGGAGAGGAGCAUGACAGGAAGAAGGGGCUGCUAUUUCGCUGAAGGGCCCAUCACGAAUGGUGCAAGAAUAACAGUUCUCUGUCACGGCUCCAGAUUCCCUUAUCUGGGAGCGUCAAGCGGCGGGGCCUGUCGACACCUCUGCCUCGCGCCCUGCUCUGCACUCAGCCGCCUGCAGAUACAGAGUGGCUUGAACAAGUUCCAGUGCUCGCUCUCGGAGCUUCCCAAGACCCAUGGUUGCAGCAGGGCCCAGCGCCAUCGGGCAGCCAGGUGACAUCACUGCCAACAGCCAUGGAGGCGCUUCCUGUGUCACAUUCCUCACUGAAGAGCCUCUUGCCAAAUCCUUGUCGUUCUGCACGGUCUUUUUAGGAACAGAUGGGCUAAUUUUAGCCUGACCGCCACAAACACCUUCCUGAAAUAGAGUCUGACUCUCUCCUGUCUCAUGCAUGUUCCUGAGAGUUUAAAAACAAAUCCCUAGUCUUUAGGGUCCACAGCUAAGGCCUCUGUCAGCCUAAAUUUGGCAGUAGGAAUUACUGAGCAGUGCACUGGGGAAACUGCUGUCAGUGUCAGGCCCGUACUGAGCUGGAUGGAAUGUUCCAACAAGGCAGAAGCUCAGGUGCUGGCAUAUCACAAAGUCAUAUGGUCCAAUAUGAAGUUGUUCUGUAUUUCAAGGACUUUGCAAUAGAAAGAAAACUUCUUGGCUAGCUGCAGCCAGGUAUGACAUCUACAAGUGUAGUGAAUGGACUUAGUGUCCUCUGUGGUCUGCCUUGGACAAUUGCUCUAAUCAUCAUCCUUUCUUUCUGGGGCAUGACUAGAUAAGCACUGCCCUGGGAGUUAAUAAUCCUGCUUCUGGUCCUGUAGCAAAGUCAGUUCAUACCUGUCUGUGCUCUACUUGAAGGAUGUAUGUAACACUGACCUGCUCUGAGAACAGCAAAUGAAAGGCACUUAGAGAAGAAUUAGAAUCACUCAGAUGAGGACAAGGAGCACAAUCUCCACAAAAUCACCAGGGUUUUUAUGCUCCUUCCUUUUGCUGUUUCUAUGAGCUUGAAUCUGCAGGCUCUUGUGUUGAAGGAUCAAUGCAAGCCUGAGCUGCUGUUUCUAAUUAGCAGAGUAAAAAGCUGUGUUGUUAAAGAGCUUUCUCUGGAUAGGAAAGGAAAAAAGGUUUUCAGGCAGCUGUUGCUUUUAUAUCACUCUUUGGAGUGACCUCCCCAUCCCUUAUGUUCCUUUAGAUCUGCUAAUUAAGCAGUUCCUUGUACCUGCAGGUCAGUUGAUCAGCUAAUGGACUCCCCACAGCCUCUGAUGCAGCAUGUCCUGGAGGGUAAAGAGGAAAAGGCAAAAGGCCCUUGGAGAUCCAACUGGGUCCUGGGCUGGCUUUGCCCAUGGGGCUCUUCCUGAGCAGUACUGAAAGCAAGCACAUGAAACAGAAAGAACAAAAGGCCUGGAGGUUGUUACCUGGUAUUUGCCAGGGUCCCUGGGUAUAUGGCUUAGCCUCCACAGGAUGGGAGACUAUUAGCCAGCUGAGCUGCCCAGCUUGCCAUCAUUCAUCUGAGACCUAAAAAUACUGAUGUCUCACAUAAGGUGAGCGCAAAGUGGCUGGAGUUGUUGAGUACUCUAAAAGCCAAACCCUUGGCACCAGGCUGCAGCUGGGCAUUAAUGGAUGAGAACAAAAGUGACAAGAGGGUUUCAUUUGCUGACUGCCCCCCUUGGAGGUGGGAGUAUGCCAGCAUGUUAAUUGAAGGACAGAAGGGACUUGAGGGACAGGACUUCUGCAUUCUGGGUGAAUGUAACUGAAACACCCCAACUAUUGUACAGCCUAAAAUAGCUUUUGCUCUGUUUUUCUAGUAGUAUCAUAUAGGAUUUUGGAAAUGUCACUGGCAAGAAUUUGGUCAAACUGAUUAAUUUACAUGAAUUGUUUUUGUUUCCAGUUUCCCACCCCUCUCUCACUUUGACACAUUUCUUCAAUAGCAAACUUCUAACGCCCCAAAAAGAAGUUCAGAGCCCAAAGGUUAAGUAGCUGACAGGAGGUCACUGAACAAGCUGUUAGUGAAGUCAGCCUUAAUUAUUUUUUUUUGCUUCCACUUCUGAGUCUGGGCCAUAACAGACAUCAUCCUGACUGUUCUGGAAGUUGUAAAAGUAGGAAACAGUCACCACCAAAGCAGGCUUGGGAGUCAGGACUUGCUGCUUUGCUAGGAGCCAGAAAGUACUCCAGGAUAUAUGCUCUUUUCUAUCUCAUCCUAUUCAUUUGUCUCCCUUUUUACCUACUCUCCAGUUUCAAGUGCAUGUUUCCUUUUAAUGCUCAUCUUGAAAGGCCUGUUUUGCCCUUCUUGCUUCUCUGACCUUCUUCAUCUCAAGAGAAAAGUGCUGUGGCAGGUCAACGACAUUCCCUUCUUCUCCUUUCACUGCUUUCAGAAGCUUCCCUUGUGACAAAGUUUGUGGUGCUCGAGUAGUCUGGCCUCUUAAUGUCCCCAAAAGGAUGCCUUAAGGACUGUGAAUGCAGCAUACAUCAGGCAGGUCUGUAAUGACAUCUGGCGUUCAAUCUAGGAAAAUGCUGAUUAUUGCCUCUCCCUGUUCUGGUGUUGUGAAAAUCCAGAUGUCAGCAGGCUGGCUGAAGGGGGAAGCAGAGAUUCUUGUUUCUAGAUCUUCUAGGAGGACCACAACAGCUUCUUAUUCAGACUCUGCAUCUCAUGUAACUCGGCAGGAUGGCCAAAAUUAUCCAUUUGAUCUUUAUGGGAAUGAGGUGUAGCCUGUGAGUGGUACUGGAGGAAAGUUAUAGAUAAACUGGCUUCAUAUAGCUGGCUGAAAGAGGGGAAACAUAACCCCCAUUUUAAAAAGGGAAAAAAGGAAGACAAAGAGAACUACAGGCCAGUCAGUCUCACCUCUGUGUCUGGCAAGAUGAUGGAGCAGAUUCUCCUGGAAAUUAUGCUAAGGUGCAUGGACAUUAAGAAGGUGACUGGUGACAGCCAACACAGCUUCACUAAGGGCAGAUCGUGCCAUACAGAUUUGGUGGCCUUUCUAUGAUGGGGUUACAGAAUUGCUGAAUAGGAGAGCUACUGAUGUCAUCUACCUGGACUUGUGCAAGGGAUUUGACACUGUCCCCUGUUAUAUCCUUAUCCCAAAAUUGGAGAGACAUGGAUUUGACAGAAGGGCCACUCAGUGGGGAAGGAAUUGGCUGGAUGGUGACGCUCAGAGAGCUGCGGUCAAUGGCUCAAUGUCCAGGUGGAGAUCAGUGACGAGUGGUGUUCCUCAGGGGUCAGUACCAGGACCAACACUGAUUCAGACCCAGGCUUCUCAGUCCAGAAAAUGUUUCAUCUUACCAAAAGUCAGUCUCAGAGGUAAGCCAGCCAACCUUCCAAAAUCUUUGGAAACCAAGGCACCGUAUCAAAGCAUCAACAAUAUGCAUAUAAAGUAGCUCAUCACUUCCCACUUCACCUCUGGAGAGGGAUUGUUCAGAGUUGAACCAAAGCAUGUUUCAUUAAUAACACUAAUUGCCAUCUAUCAUCAAGAACACAGGGCCAUUUUCCGCUAUUUUCUAAAUUAAAAAUCCACACAGAAGCCUCUGAAGAGAUGAAGAUCAGAACAGGCUCAAUUUUCCAUGCAAAUAAUUUGCCUCUGAUCUUGACCCAGAAUUUUCAUAACAAUUGGAGCCAGUGUGGGGUUCCUGUGGCUCUGAGCUGCCCUGCGGUACCCAGCUGUCCCUCUCCUUCUCUUCUGGUGGGGUUCCUUUCAUGCCUGCUUGGGAGGGCAUAUGUGCACCUGAGGCAUUUUCCUUCACUGACUUUGACGUUUAUCUCUGCUCCCAGUCCCCCUUUUAUCCGUAUUUGAUCCCACUUGCUGAGUGCUGACAGGAAGCAGAUGAAAGGAUUCAAGUCUUUCAGUAUCCAUACUGGCCAUCAACCUAGAUAAGGUAUUAUAGUCUUUCUUAUUAGCCAAGUGAGUGCCCAGAUGAGCCCUGAGAUGCUCAGACCAGCUUCCUCUGAAGCUCAUAAAACUACUUAUAUUUUAGAGAGUGAAAAAAAUAAUGUAGCUUUGCAAGCUUGGCUUCCUUUUAAAUACACACCUUUAUUUUUGUUGCCUUUUGCAACCCUUAAGCACUGCCUUGCCCUCCACCAGGAAAGGUUUAAUCUGCUAAUAUCCUUCUCUUAACACAGUAGUGCCCUACACAAGCCUGCCAGCUGGGAGAGGAGACAGGCCAAACCCUCUCCUGCACACUUCUGCUUCUGUUCCUUUCAGAAUGAUUCCCUCACUUGGGAAUUGCUCAAAGCAGGUGGAUAACAGGAUAGGGUUAAUUAUAACAAAUACAUGCAGCCCACUAAAAAUUCAAUUUAACUCUGUGUGGAGUUUACUGAUUGUACUGAUCAGGAAGUAAUUCAAUUUUCUUUGAUUUUUCUGAGUCAAGUCAUACAUAGAAGAGGAAUUUACUAUGCACUGCUCGUCACUGGAGAGGCAUCUUUUCCUCCAAGAAGAAAAGCAAACUACAAUUUGAUAGGAGAAAUAGCUUCUCCUAUUGUCUUGCAUACAGCCAGACUGAAUCUUUGUCUCACCGUUACGUCCUCUGGUGACUAGGUAAGGGAAAAAUACUCCCUUAUCCAGGGAUAUUCCUGGAUAUUCCUCUGUAAUGAAGAAGAGCUGGAAAAAUAGAAUGCCUCCGAGAUGUAAUAGAAGUUAUUUAAUAUUGUUCUCACUUCUUUUUGUUCUCUGAAGCAAUAAUCAAAAGGAGUAAUUUACCUGUCCUCUUCUCCAUCAGGGUCACAGUACUCCCUCUUCUUCUACCUAUAGUUACACAUGCCUUACAAGCGGUAGCUUACAAGAGAGAUGUACAGGCCAGCUUGAAAUAAGAUGGUUCAGGUUCUGGAUGUGUCCUCACUAUGUCUGGACUUUGAUGGUUAGAUUCUGUGUCACCUACAAAUAGAAAUCUGGAAUAGCUGUACUGGAAUGAAAGGAAUCACAAUGCUUUUUGAUGUUUUAUUUUAUUACCAUUUAUUUAUUUUAUUAUUACCAUUUCUGCUCCUGUGCUUUUGAAGGCAAUAUCUUGCUAUAUUUCUACUGGUGUCUUAGAUUCUUAAGUAAACAGGCUAGUUAAAAAUGUGGAUUAUGGCUAAGAACAAAAGAUAAUAUUUAAAACAAACUUAUCUGCCUGGGGCAGUUGAUUUCCCCAGCAUAAGUCAUUUCUUACCCUGUCACGUCUCAGCUACAAAGCCUGGGAGAAAAUUUUUUUUUCCUGUUGCUUUAAUACUGUUGUCUCCAAGCUGUGUCUUUUGUUCUACCCUGGCACCUUUGCCACCUUCCCCUAAGGUAGGAGAGCUCAAUGAAGCAAGAUUCCCCUGUAGGUUCUGGUUGGAGCUUUGGUGGAAGCCGUUUUUCUGCUUCCAGCUUGUGCCGUGGGUGGUACUUUCAGGCGUCCAGGCUGGUCUGGAACUCCCUUGAGGGUGACUGUCAGGGCUCUGCUCAUCCCAAGACAUUAAAGGGCUGUGGUUGGACAGUACUGCUCCCACAGUGUCUGUACUAAGCUAUAACGGAGAGAAACACGUAUUAGAGCUUGUAUUUGCACACAGCAGAUCCCUCUACCUACAGGACAAAGAUGCAAGUUGUACAUAUCUCAGCCAUUAGUGAAUGCUCAACGUUCACCUCCUUACUUGUUGGACAGAUCCACGGCUACUUUCCAUCUUCUUUUUCUUGGAAAUUGCUGGAUUCCAGUGACACACCAGGCUGUCAUUUUGGACACUAUAGUUCUUGUUACCAAGAAGCCAGUAGGUUUUCAUUUUCCCUUUGCCCUGGGACAAGAAUAAGGAGAGAGCAGGGAGUGGCUUUUUUUGUGGGAUGUGAGGCAGAGCAGAGAAUCACUAUGCCUGGGGCUCCUAUUUGUACUGCAUUGUACUGCAUCUGUCUUCUGCUAUCAUGAGAGGCUGCUGCUUAGGAAAAGGACUGCAAUUUGUAUGCAGUUUGGGUGCUGGUAGUUCUUCCAGUGCAGAAAAAGGCCUUGCUGGUCACUGGUGAUAUUUCUAAGGGUUUAAAAUCAGCCUUGUAUCUAUGUGUCUUUGUAACUGAAUCCCAAUGCUUUCACCCAGAAUCAUGUGGUUCCAUGCAGGGGCAGGCACACCAAGUGUAUUUCAAAUGACACAAUACCAUUUCUGCUUUGGUUAGGAGAAGUAACAUAUAGCCAUUUCCAGCUGAAUUAGCAAGAGAACCUUGGUGCCAUGGCUAAAAACCAGCUUGCAACACAGAGAAGAGCAAUGGCCAAAUCCAUCCCGUUCUUUUAAACUCCUUUACUUUUGGGAAGUUACAGAAAAAAACAGUUACCUUGACAUCAAUUUCUCCCCUCAGUUCAAUUUCAUACGUGUCAUCUGUGAGAAGGGCAUUGUACGUAGCAGAACUGAUGUGGAUCUUCUGUGCUAGGAUUCAGAACAGAGCAUUAGAAGGGAAGGAUUCCCCUGUUUCUGGAGAGCACACACUAGUCCUCCUGCAUUACCAGCCCAGCGUUUCUACUUCCUCUUUGGAAAAUGUCAGGUUGAGGAAGAAGUACAAAGCGGGGUGAAGAUGCCCUAAAUGGAGGAUGAGGACUGUUUUGUCUCCAGGACACUGCAUGCAGAUGUCGGUUAACAGAACCACUGACAUGACUACACAGUGCUGUGUGGGGUAUCUGUACAACAGCACAGUACAUGUAUGUGGUAUUGGUAGCAAAGGUAGCCCAAAAAGCUGGGCCAAGAAAAACAUACGCAGUCCUCUUCUGUGUAGCCACAGUGUUUCUAUCUAAUGCCUUUGUUAUUCAAGUCCUUAAAAUGAAACUCAGCUUGCCUAACACUACUCAGCUUUUGUUGCCUUUUUAUACUCUUUUUCUUAUUUCCAAACUUCCAAGAAAUAGCAAAAGAGAGAGAACUUUAUUUGCCACAUGAAUGCACAAGAGUUUCUCUUGCUUGUUUGAUUAGUAUAUAUACAGGAUAGUGGCAGCUGCGGGUCACACAUAUGCUUCUUUAGAUCCAUGGGAAUUGGUUCUCUAGCCUGGCAUAUUCCACAGACAUAUUCCAUGCUCCUCCUCCUGUAUGAACCUUAUUUCACAAUUGCCCGUGGCCAGUGCAAAGGGGUGUUAGGGGGUUUCCUUUCACUGCAGUGCCUAAGAAACACAGAGUGCAGGUGGGAGCCUGGCUGGCGCAUGAGAAAUGUGUGGAGUGUGCCCAAGUCACUUACGCAAGCUGGUGGACUCCAUGCGGGAGGCUGUGUUUACCGUGUCCCCAAACAGGCAAUAGCGAGGCAUUUUGUACCCCACAACUCCAGCUACACAGGGUCCUGAGAAAACAUAAGGCGUAGAGAUCCUAAUAAGAAACAACUGGAAAAAGUGCAGGGAGAUGCCAAAUGUAGACACCUUUGCUAGGCAAAUUCUGGAUCCUCAAAGAGCAACGGGAAUUGGGAAUUCUCCCUGCACCUAGCACCCAGCUGCACACUAUUUACUUAAGGACAGAAGGGAUCAUUUGAUUAGCUGUAGAUAAUUGGCCCUGAUGGCAGGGGAAGGUGCACUUUGCCAGUACUGAACUAUUUCACAGCCCUUUCCACACUAAUGCAAGCAAAAAUCAGUUUGCCCAACUAUUACUGCUGGAACCUGGAGAUAUUCAUCUUGGGGUCCUGUAGGGAGUCAAUGGCUAUUACAGAAAUGUAGUUUUUUAUUCUUACAUAAUUAGUUUUUUUCAAGCUCCCACCUCAGCCCAUGUACCUGUGUGUAUCCCAGCCCGCAGCUGCAGCCUGCCAGUUGGCAUAUGAGGGAUCACAACUUGACGAACUGCUGCCACCAGAUCCAGAGACAUUUUGGCAAUCUCAUCAGCGUGUUUAGUGCCAUUCCUCUCUGGCAGGCCACUCACCACCAUGUAGGCAUCACCAAUGGUUUCCACCUGGAGAGAAGGGACACCUGUCACCGAGUGGCAGGCACUAAGCUUUUCUUUCAAAAUGAAAUCAGAAUAAAAUGCAUCUCAGCUGCCCAGCCCUUGCUAAGUUGUGAUGUGGGCCCUGGGUGAUGGGGGAUCUUGGAUUUCAUGGCUUCUGGACAGCUGUAUUUAACAUUCACCAGGGAAAACAAGGGAGUUUAAAUCCUCCAGGAGCUGAUCGGCACGAAAUGGGGUGUUCCUCUUAUUUGCUUCUGGGACCAGCCAACUGUGCCUUUCUUCCUGCAGGAGAGAGAUGAAGCGAACAGCCCAAAGGUUUUCACAG
Non-coding RNA from Anas platyrhynchos (mallard), 9351 nucleotides. The record is from RefSeq and is a predicted model, not a curated record. NCBI's taxonomy places the organism in Eukaryota, Metazoa, Chordata, Aves, Anseriformes, Anatidae.